GGUAGUCCACGCUGUAAACGAUGCUCACUAGAUGUGGGGGUAUCGACCCCCUCCGCGUCGAAGCUAACGCGAUAAGUGAGCCGCCUGGGGACUACGGCCGCAAGGCUAAAACUCAAAGGAAUUGACGGGGGCCCGCACAAGCAGCGGAGCGUGUGGUUUAAUUCGAUGCAACGCGAAGAACCUUACCUGGGCUUGAACGUGCAGUGACAGCCGGUGAAAGCCGGUCUCCCUUCGGGGGCACUGUGCGAGGUGAUGCACGGCUGUCGUCAGCUCGUGCCGUGAGGUGUUGGGGUUAAG
Molecule: ribosomal RNA, 297 nt
Filed under: uncultured bacterium
Lineage: Bacteria
Description: partial 16S ribosomal RNA
Rfam family: Bacterial small subunit ribosomal RNA
Source: RNAcentral